This 497-nucleotide ribosomal RNA is filed under the name uncultured bacterium. RNAcentral's name for it is "partial 16S ribosomal RNA". It matches the Rfam family "Bacterial small subunit ribosomal RNA", at positions 28 to 507 of the family's 1533-position model. The record is from RNAcentral.
GAUGAACGCUGGCGGCGUGCCUAAUACAUGCAAGUAGAACGCUGAAGGAAGGAGCUUGCUCUUUCCGGAUGAGUUGCGAACGGGUGAGUAACGCGUAGGUAACCUGCCUGGUAGCGGGGGAUAACUAUUGGAAACGAUAGCUAAUACCGCAUAACAGUAGAUGUUGCAUGAUAUCUACUUAAAAGGUGCAAUUGCACCACUACCAGAUGGACCUGCGUUGUAUUAGCUAGUUGGUGAGGUAACGGCUCACCAAGGCGACGAUACAUAGCCGACCUGAGAGGGUGAUCGGCCACACUGGGACUGAGACACGGCCCAGACUCCUACGGGAGGCAGCAGUAGGGAAUCUUCGGCAAUGGACGGAAGUCUGACCGAGCAACGCCGCGUGAGUGAAGAAGGUUGUCGGAUCGUAAAGCUCUGUUGUAAGAGAAGAACGAGUGUGAGGGUGGAAAGUUCACACUGUGACGGUAUCUUACCAGAAAGGGACGGCUAACUACGUG